GAUGGGAUUCCAGAGAAAUCGAGGGAAACUCUUGAAAAUCCGCAAUAACUUUUUACUGGGUGUACCGAUUUUAAUAAUUUUUAAUUUAAUUGAAAGCUGAUGUUUGUCAUGUGGUCACAUAUAAAUUUUAUUGAGAUCUAAUAACUACUUUUUGAGUAAUCUUUGAUAACGCGUAGUUACUUGACUAUUUUUUCGUCGAUCUACGUUGUAUUACUCGUCGAUGUAAUUGAAGUCGGUUUUUUUUCGUUUGCAAGCAAACACAAUUAUUUGUA
This 272-nucleotide unclassified non-coding RNA is filed under the name Melitaea cinxia (Glanville fritillary). RNAcentral describes it as "misc RNA ENSMCXG00005009281.1". The record is from RNAcentral. Lineage: Eukaryota; Metazoa; Arthropoda; Insecta; Lepidoptera; Nymphalidae.